AGGGCGCACGGUGGAUGCCUUGGCACUAGAAGCCGAUGAAGGACGUGACUAACGACGAAAUGCUUUGGGGAGCUGUAAGUGAGCAAUGAUCCAGAGAUGUCCGAAUGGGGGAACCCGGCAGGUAAUGCCUGUCACUCAUUACUGUUAAGGUAAUGUAGAGGAAGACGCAGUGAACUGAAACAUCUAAGUAGCUGUAGGAAGAGAAAGCAAAAGCGAUUGCCUUAGUAGCGGCGAGCGAAACGGCAAGAGGGCAAACCGAAGAGUUUACUCUUCGGGGUUGUAGGACUGCAACGUGGACUUAAAGAUUAUAGAAGAACUACCUGGGAAGGUAGGCCAAAGAGAGUAAUAGCCUCGUAUUCGAAAUAGUCUUUAUACCUAGCAGUAUCCUGAGUACGGCGAGACACGAGAAAUCUCGUCGGAAUCUGGGAGGACCAUCUCCCAACCCUAAAUACUCUCUAGUGACCGAUAGUGAACCAGUACCGUGAGGGAAAGGUGAAAAGCACCCCGGGAGGGGAGUGAAAUAGAACCUGAAACCGUGUGCCUACAACAAGUUCGAGCCCGUUAAUGGGUGAGAGCGUGCCUUUUGUAGAAUGAACCGGCGAGUUACGAUAUGAUGCGAGGUUAAGUUGAAGAGACGGAGCCGUAGGGAAACCGAGUCUUAAUAGGGCGCAUUAGUAUCAUGUCGUAGACCCGAAACCAUGUGACCUACCCAUGAGCAGGUUGAAGGUGAGGUAAAACUCACUGGAGGACCGAACCAGGGCACGUUGAAAAGUGCUUGGAUGACUUGUGGGUAGCGGAGAAAUUCCAAACGAACUUGGAGAUAGCUGGUUCUCUCCGAAAUAGCUUUAGGGCUAGCGUCGAUGUUAAGUCUCUUGGAGGUAGAGCACUGUUUGGGUGAGGGGUCCAUCCCGGAUUACCAAUCUCAGAUAAACUCCGAAUGCCAAUGAGAUAUAAUCGGCAGUCAGACUGCGAGUGCUAAGAUCCGUAGUCGAAAGGGAAACAGCCCAGACCACCAGCUAAGGUCCCAAAAUAUAUGUUAAGUGGAAAAGGAUGUGGGGUUGCACAGACAACUAGGAUGUUAGCUUAGAAGCAGCUAUUCAUUCAAAGAGUGCGUAAUAGCUCACUAGUCGAGUGACCCUGCGCCGAAAAUGUACCGGGGCUAAAACAUAUUACCGAAGCUGUGGAUACCUUUAUAGGUAUGGUAGGAGAGCGUUCUAUGUGCGAAGAAGGUGUACCGUGAGGAGUGCUGGAGCGCAUAGAAGUGAGAAUGCCGGUAUGAGUAGCGAAAGACAGGUGAGAAUCCUGUCCACCGUAAGACUAAGGUUUCCAGGGGAAGGCUCGUCCGCCCUGGGUUAGUCGGGACCUAAGGAGAGACCGAAAGGUGUAUCCGAUGGACAACAGGUUGAUAUUCCUGUACUAGAGUAUAUAGUGAUGGAGGGACGCAGUAGGCUAACUAAACCAGACGAUUGGAAGUGUCUGGCCAAGCAGUGAGGUGUGAUAUGAGUCAAAUGCUUAUAUCUUUAACAUUGAGCUGUGAUGGGGAGCGAAGUUUAGUAGCGAAGUUAGUGAUGUCACACUGCCGAGAAAAGCUUCUAGCGUUAAUUAUACUCUACCCGUACCGCAAACCGACACAGGUAGUCGAGGCGAGUAGCCUCAGGUGAGCGAGAGAACUCUCGUUAAGGAACUCGGCAAAAUGGCCCCGUAACUUCGGGAGAAGGGGCGCUGACUGAUGGUCAGCCGCAGUGAAUAGGCCCAAGCAACUGUUUAUCAAAAACACAGCUCUCUGCUAAAUCGUAAGAUGAUGUAUAGGGGGUGACGCCUGCCCGGUGCUGGAAGGUUAAGAGGAGUGCUUAGCGUAAGCGAAGGCAUGAAUUGAAGCCCCAGUAAACGGCGGCCGUAACUAUAACGGUCCUAAGGUAGCGAAAUUCCUUGUCGGGUAAGUUCCGACCCGCACGAAAGGCGUAAUGAUUUGGGCACUGUCUCAACGAGAGACUCGGUGAAAUUUUAGUACCUGUGAAGAUGCAGGUUACCCGCGACAGGACGGAAAGACCCCAUGGAGCUUUACUGCAGUUUGAUAUUGAGUAUCUGUACCACAUGUACAGGAUAGGUAGGAGCCUAUGACCUCGGGACGCCAGUUUCGAGUGAGGCGUUGUUGGGAUACUACCCUUGUGUUAUGGCUACUCUAACCCAGAUAGGUUAUCCCUAUCGGAGACAGUGUCUGACGGGCAGUUUGACUGGGGCGGUCGCCUCCUAAAAGGUAACGGAGGCGCCCAAAGGUUCCCUCAGAAUGGUUGGAAAUCAUUCGCAGAGUGUAAAGGUAUAAGGGAGCUUGACUGCGAGAGCUACAACUCGAGCAGGGACGAAAGUCGGGCUUAGUGAUCCGGUGGUUCCGCAUGGAAGGGCCAUCGCUCAACGGAUAAAAGCUACCCUGGGGAUAACAGGCUUAUCUCCCCCAAGAGUUCACAUCGACGGGGAGGUUUGGCACCUCGAUGUCGGCUCGUCGCAUCCUGGGGCUGUAGUAGGUCCCAAGGGUUGGGCUGUUCGCCCAUUAAAGCGGCACGCGAGCUGGGUUCAGAACGUCGUGAGACAGUUCGGUCCCUAUCCGUCGCGGGCGUAGGAAAUUUGAGAGGAUCUGCUCCUAGUACGAGAGGACCAGAGUGGACUUACCGCUGGUGUACCAGUUGUUCUGCCAAGAGCAUCGCUGGGUAGCUAUGUAGGGAAGGGAUAAACGCUGAAAGCAUCUAAGUGUGAAGCCCACCUCAAGAUGAGAUUUCCCAUGAUUUU
Molecule: ribosomal RNA, 2784 nt
Filed under: human gut metagenome
Description: bacterial LSU rRNA
Rfam family: Bacterial large subunit ribosomal RNA
Source: RNAcentral